UAGGUUUAUCCAACUCGUUGAAUAGUUUAAUGGUAUAUUUCUCGGUAUUCUAGGCUCGGCCUUACAAUAUAACAAACAAGUUUGACCUCAAAUCAGGUAGGACUACCCGCUGAACUUAAGCAUAUCAAUAAGCGGAGGAAAAGAAACCAACAGGGAUUGCCUUAGUAACGGCGAGUGAAGCGGCAAAAGCUCAAAUUUGAAAUCUGGCGCCUUCGGUGUCCGAGUUGUAAUUUGAAGAAGGUAACUUUGGAGUUGGCUCUUGUCUAUGUUCCUUGGAACAGGACGUCACAGAGGGUGAGAAUCCCGUGCGAUGAGAUGCCCAAUUCUAUGUAAAGUGCUUUCGAAGAGUCGAGUUGUUUGGGAAUGCAGCUCUAAGUGGGUGGUAAAUUCCAUCUAAAGCUAAAUAUUGGCGAGAGACCGAUAGCGAACAAGUACAGUGAUGGAAAGAUGAAAAGAACUUUGAAAAGAGAGUGAAAAAGUACGUGAAAUUGUUGAAAGGGAAGGGCUUGAGAUCAGACUUGGUAUUUUGCGAUCCUUUCCUUCUUGGUUGGGUUCUCCGCAGCUUACUGGGCCAGCAUCGGUUUGGAUGGUAGGAUAAUGAUUAAGGAAUGUGGCUCUACUUCGGUGGAGUGUUAUAGCCUUGGUUGAUACUGCCUGUCUAGACCGAGGACUGCGUCUUGACUAGGAUGCUG
RNAcentral lists this ribosomal RNA (692 nucleotides) under Debaryomyces nepalensis. RNAcentral describes it as "LSU rRNA". The stretch from base 83 to 692 matches the Rfam family "Eukaryotic large subunit ribosomal RNA", at positions 1 to 628 of the family's 3401-position model. The record is from RNAcentral. Lineage: Eukaryota; Fungi; Ascomycota; Pichiomycetes; Serinales; Debaryomycetaceae.